RNAcentral lists this ribosomal RNA (495 nucleotides) under uncultured bacterium. RNAcentral describes it as "partial 16S ribosomal RNA". It matches the Rfam family "Bacterial small subunit ribosomal RNA", at positions 28 to 507 of the family's 1533-position model. The record is from RNAcentral.
GAUGAACGCUGGCGGCGUGCCUAAUACAUGCAAGUAGAACGCUGAAGGAGGAGCUUGCUCUUCUGGAUGAGUUGCGAACGGGUGAGUAACGCGUAGGUAACCUGCCUGGUAGCGGGGGAUAACUAUUGGAAACGAUAGCUAAUACCGCAUGACAACAGUUAUUGCAUGAUAACUGUUUAAAAGGGGCAACUGCUCCACUACCAGAUGGACCUGCGUUGUAUUAGCUAGUUGGUGAGGUAACGGCUCACCAAGGCGACGAUACAUAGCCGACCUGAGAGGGUGAUCGGCCACACUGGGACUGAGACACGGCCCAGACUCCUACGGGAGGCAGCAGUAGGGAAUCUUCGGCAAUGGACGGAAGUCUGACCGAGCAACGCCACGUGAGUGAAGAAGGUUUUCGGAUCGUAAAGCUCUGUUGUAAGAGAAGAACGAGUGUGAGAGUGGAAAGUUCACACUGUGACGGUAUCUUACCAGAAAGGGACGGCUAACUACGUG